This 792-nucleotide ribosomal RNA is filed under the name uncultured bacterium. Its description in RNAcentral is "bacterial SSU rRNA". It matches the Rfam family "Bacterial small subunit ribosomal RNA", at positions 8 to 795 of the family's 1533-position model. The record is from RNAcentral.
AGAGUUUGAUCAUGGCUCAGAUUGAACGCUGGCGGCAGGCCUAACACAUGCAAGUCGAGCGGAUGAAGAGAGCUUGCUCUCUGAUUCAGCGGCGGACGGGUGAGUAAUGCCUAGGGAUCUGCCUGGUAGUGGGGGACAACGUUUCGAAAGGAACGCUAAUACCGCAUACGUCCUACGGGAGAAAGCAGGGGACCUUCGGGCCUUGCGCAAUCAGAUGAGCCUAGGUCGGAUUAGCUAGUUGGUGAGGUAAUGGCUCACCAAGGCGACGAUCCGUAACUGGUCUGAGAGGAUGAUCAGUCACACUGGAACUGAGACACGGUUCAGACUCCUACGGGAGGCAGCAGUGGGGAAUAUUGGACAAUGGGCGAAAGCCUGAUCCAGCCAUGCCGCGUGUGUGAAGAAGGUCUUCGGAUUGUAAAGCACUUUAAGUUGGGAGGAAGGGCAUGCACCUAAUACGUGUGUGUCUUGACGUUACCGACAGAAUAAGCACCGGCUAACUCUGUGCCAGCAGCCGCGGUAAUACAGAGGGUGCAAGCGUUAAUCGGAAUUACUGGGCGUAAAGCGUGCGCAGGCGGUUCGCUAAGACAGAUGUGAAAUCCCCGGGCUUAACCUGGGAACUGCAUUUGUGACUGGCGGGCUAGAGUAUGGCAGAGGGGGGUAGAAUUCCACGUGUAGCAGUGAAAUGCGUAGAGAUGUGGAGGAAUACCGAUGGCGAAGGCAGCCCCCUGGGCCAAUACUGACGCUCAUGCACGAAAGCGUGGGGAAGCAACAGGAUUAGAUACCCUGGUAGUC